Long non-coding RNA from Fukomys damarensis (Damara mole-rat), 3309 nucleotides. RefSeq lists it as uncharacterized. The record is from RefSeq and is a predicted model, not a curated record. NCBI's taxonomy places the organism in Eukaryota, Metazoa, Chordata, Mammalia, Rodentia, Bathyergidae. The transcript is spliced from 3 exons.
UGAUGUCUUUUUAUAUGAAUCUUGGUUAUUGUGUUUCUUUAGUUUUACAACUCUUGGCUAUUUUUCUACCAGAUUGUCCUUUCCUCCCAUCAGUCUCAUAUUUUAACACUGUUUUGUGCAUAUUUUACUGUAAUGUUUGUUUUAGUUGUUAGUGCUAAGGAGGGAACCCAGGGCCUCAUGCAUGCUAGGCGAGCACCCUACCAGUGACCUAUAACCCCAACCCUGUAGGAAAUUUUUCAUGUAGAUAUAGGCAAACAAUUAAUCACCUUCACAGCUUUGGCUUUCUAAGUAAACCUUCCAUUUUUGCAGGUCACAAGCAUAUUCUAGAUUUUCUACUAAUACUUGCAAUAGAUAUUGCAUGUACUUUCUUUUGUUUGUUAGAUAGUCUAAGUUUAAAUCACAGGCUCCCACAUAUCCUAGCUGGUGACAUGGGGUGGCAACUUGGCCAGUUCUUCACUUUCUGGUCUGUGGCUGUCCUUUCUGGGGCUCCAGUAAGGAUCAGAUGAGACGUGGCAGGUGAAGAGGGCAACACACAGCCAGCCUGACACAGAGCACUCAGUAAGCAUAACUUACAGAAACUGCUACCCAUUGUCACACUCAUUGCUAAUCGGCACCCACAUUGAUAAUUAUUGCUGAACCACUUCUACUCCUAUGAGUUUGACCUUAGAGUCCACAUAUGAUUGAACUGGUGUUGGUCUUUCUGUGCCUGUCUUAUUUCACCUAGCAUGGGACCCUCUGUUGGCUCACAUUCUUGGUAAUCUGUAGGCCAUGACCGGAGGCUCUUUUACAUUUCUUUUCCUAACCAGCUACUUUGGUGGCAUUGGCCAACUUCUGGUAUAUUCUACACAAACACCUGUGUGGGGUAACUUAAGCCUUGUUUGCAUUCACACUAAAAUUCUAUGGAGCCUCUUGGAUGACCUCAAGGGACAAUUCCCCUGGCACAAACUCUGCUUUGUUAUUUCCUGUCCCUCUUCUUGGCUCUCUGCACUGGGCCAAAAACCCCCAAGUUAGAAGUGACAGGUGGAUGGACAGGUGAGCAUGUCCUGUUUACUCCUGCAAUGGAAGAAAUUUCCCUCAAGCCUCACAAUUCAAUUCUGUGUUUAUUCUGGUAAGUACCAUUUAUCACACUACUCCUACUUGGCCAAGAGAUUUGAUCAAGAAUGGGUAGGGCUUUUAGCUGCUUCUCCUGGAGAUUCCAAGGUUUUCUUCAUUUAAGCUGAUAUUCUAGUUCAUCGUACUGAUGGACCAUUGUUAUUGACCUGGGGCCAUUGUCCUGGCAGUCCUCUGAUCAGCCCCCCCCAUGAUGACUUCUCCUCAGGGAGAAAGGUGGAAAGAAUAAAAUAGGACCAUGAGCUCCAGCAAGUUUCCCUGGCAACUACGGGCUCUUCCCUGGAAUGCAACCUGGGGCUGCAGCAUCUUGGAGGUCUAUGUAGUUUCCUUGUCUGAUCAGUUUUUGGAAGUCAUGCAUUUAUUGUCCAGUGAGCAGGUAUGUGCAGAUCUUAGAGAAAGAAGGGACCAAGCCAACUCUUGUUUCCAACCUGUGGUUUCUACUUGAUGGGAUAUGACCAAGCACCCAGAACAUCCCAUGCCCACUGGCCAUUCUCACAGCCUGGCUGUGGAACACAGCCACACUCUGCAUCCACUUCCGGGACCAGUGGGCUACCUGCUUUGGAGUUUAGGACCUUCUGGCUCGACAGAAACUGCACACUGGCAAGAAAUCCUUUAUUUGGCCUUUAUCCCUAGGUGUCUUGACAUUUCAUCUUCCCAAGGCCAAAGAAAUCAGGAAAGCUUCACACAGAAGAGAAUGAUGCCUAAUUGCAGAAGUUUUCAAUGCAGCGAUGCUUUUUAAGUACACCAUGGUUUAUUUGGGAUUUUAGCUUUUGGAUGCAUACACAGAACUGACAUAUAGUUUUCUUUUUGUGUGUUGCCUGGACAAGAAAUAUAGCCCUGGGCCUAAGCCCUAGAGAUUUGGAUCCAGUUGCCCAGAGGAGGAUACAGGAGCUAGCAUUUUUAAGAAUUUUGUAGAGGGCUUUUAUGGACAGCCAGGUUUGGGAAUAGCUGGCUCAGAAGGCACUACCUCUGCCUUCUUGCCCUUAAACAAAGGGUUCCUGUAGGGGCUCAGAGACCACAUGGGCACCUGGGCCUCACACUCAGAUCCUCUAGUGCCAGUUGUAGCCACAGUGGGGCAAGAAUCUGUGUGCCCCAUGCACACUGCCAUACCCAGCCCUCGCAGGGGACUCAGAGGAACUCUCAUUUAAAACACCGGUGCCUUCCAUGCUCUGGAAACCAGACCUGAGCAUCCAUCUUCAGUCUAAUGAACUCAUGAGCUACGUUUCAAAUAUGUAUAGAUAUGUUUGUGAUGCCUGCAGUAACAACACUGUUGAAUGCACAGGUUUUUAGAGGUCUUGUUCUCUAUCAACAGUGUGUGUACUAUUGAUGUCUUGAUAGCAGGCCAACCAACAAAUUUUUUUAAUAAUUAAGCAGGGAUCUUCAUACACUGAGACACUGGGAAUCCUAGGACAGGGCCUCACUGGAGCCAGCUGUGGCCUUGGAGUUAAAGAGCAGCUGAGUGGCACACAGCCACCCCACUCUCACUCCACUCGGGUGACCAGCUGGCUCGGGUGCGCUCCAGGAUUUGUGUCAUCUCAGGCUGUGACAAGCAAGAGCUCCACACAGAGGAGGGGAUGAGUGAGUCUUUUGGCCAGGGAGGAAACAGUCAUGGGUAGGGUGAGGGCAACGCGACCGCCAUUUCAGUGAGCCUCACCUCCACCUUGGCAUCAGGCUGAUUCUUGGAGAUUUCUCAGCCUACGCAACAGUGCAUGCCCUUGAUGGUUCUGUAAGGCCCACAAAGCAGGCCUUUAAUACCUAGCCUCCCGUAUGGCCUGUCCCUGUGGGAGCAGACACUACAGAUGUGGUGUUACAUGGUUAACAUCUGAUUCACAGGCUUGAACCAAAAUGGCUGCUGCAACUCCUCUGUGGCUGUCUGAGAGAAGAGCAGAUGUUGUUCCAUGAGUCCCAAAAGCACAAACAGAUCUAUCUGUCCAUGCCAUCAUCUUGAAACACAUAGGACCUUUGAGGAAAUCCUUUGCUAUGUUGGGUGAAGAACCAAAUACUGUCCUGCAGCCAAGAUGCAAGUGCUCUGUGGGAAUCCUGCAUUGCCAGUUUUCCUUGGGAGAUUUACACUGCAUACAACUCUGUCAUUCACACAUGAUGCGCAAAGGUGACGUCUGUGCACAAUCUACGUACAUUUAGUGAAGAAACUGUAGGGUCUACACUGCUGGCCUAUCAGUCUGCUGGGAGAAGAAAUAC